GUUGGUUUAGCUCCAACAGUGCAAAAAUAUGCUCCCCUGAUUGGAACAGCUCAAAGCAACCAAAAGCAGCCUGGUUCAUAGCACUGAAGGGGUUAAACAUGCUGUGCAUGCUGUGAAAAAAUGUAAAAAAUAAACAGAAGCACUAACAUCACUAAGAUACUGUGAUGAGCAUUCCCAUGGGAAGUCCAGUGAGCAAGAUAAACAAGCAUUCAGGGAGCGGUACCACUUUACUUCAAUCAUUUUUUAAAGGGUUAGCAAGUAUAUCUAGAGCACAAGCUUCUAGCUGCUAUAGUGAUUUUAAAAUCUUGGACCCAUAAUCUUUGCACUACAACAUUUUCUAUUUUGCAGAAUACCUUCACUUCCAGAUGGGUUUAAUAUGUCAGUCCAGGAUUAACUUUAAGCUCAUGCAUGAAUUUCAGCUCGUGUUAUUGCCAGCAGUUAUAACAUGAUUGAACUGAGACUGGAUAGAGUCAACAUUUUGGUAUCUGAUGACGAUGGUGAUGAAAAAUAAACAAGGUUGCAGCAAACAGGGUCUCUCUUAGUCAGAGUUCGGCAAAUCAAUCCUGACAUUGAUCAAUUACUUGACAUGUUGAUGCUGAUAACAGUUUACAUUCUCAAAAACUUGUCUGGAUGAAUAGAAGUGGAACUAAAUGCUUGGCAAAAUGCACAUUAUUGAUAACUGCUCUUAACAGGUCUAUAGCUGGAAUCGUCCAUCCUUUCACAGACAUAUAAAUUAGUUCUCAUUUGAAUGCUAUGUUGGUUGAACAUAUGUAUCCUAUCUAUAGACUGUAUGGAAAACUUGGUUCUGCCUUCUGCCAGUAUAUGGAUUUGAAGCUGAAAAGCUCUCUGUAAUUCCAUGUUUUCCUCUACUUCCUGGAACCAACAUCCUGCAAGCAGUGUUGUACGCAUUUGGUGGGAGAGUCGCCGAGAGUCACUGUGAUGAUGCUCGGCUCAAACAGCGUGCUCCCCAGGUGAGCGACACAAUCUUUGUACACCCAUAGGUUGUAUUAAGUGUCAAUCACAGAAAACAUGAACCCCCUAAUAACUUUUAAAAAUGGAGCUGCACAGAAAAAAAGGACUUGAGCACAAACCAGUCUUACAAUAACAACAUGUCAACAUCACAAGCAGGGGGGAGAAAAAUGUAUAUUCUGUGUAACAAAUUUCUAAAGUUUGUCCACAGCACUAUAGGGAUGGCUGGAGGAGGCAGGAUUUCUGACCUAUACUACAGCCUGUCACCAGAGGGUGCUGUUCUUGGGGUGGCUUCACCCAGCGUGGAGGCAGACGGCAUUUAUUCUAUAUACAGUCUAUGAUCAUAUCCUUUUCCCUGAUAUUUUACAUUCUUGUAAUACAAUAUUAAAUUCUAACACAUGUAUCUAUUUUUUAAUGUUAUGGAAUUUUAAGUAUAUGUGUGCAAUAAUGGGAACAGCUGAAAGCAUCUAGUGUUUAAUCAUAUCAGUCUUUUUUCUUGCUUUGCACCUGCUCUUAAUUACAUCAACCCACAACAUCCAUUACUUACUCUUAAUCUUCUGCUCACAGUCAGAAUUAUUCUUUCUACUAAAGCCCUUCUGAGACAACAUAACCCUAAUUAUAUCACUUUUUUUAUGAUUCCUGCUUAACUCUUGCCAUAAUACUGUAUAAGCCGUAAAAUUAAAAUAUAAAUACAAUCAGAAGUCCUUUUUUAACUCCAGUAUUUUAUAUUUAUAGUUCAUCAGGUACAAAACAAACACAAACAAGGCCUUACACAGUUACAGAAAAAUGUGUCCCUUUCAAUCUGAACUCAGUAUUUAAGUUAUGUUCAUCCAUCACAUAGACUGCAGGAGAUUUUAUCUUUCAAUGAUCUGAACUGUGGAGAUUUAAUAAGAAGUUCAUGAUGCAUUUAAAAAUGUGAUAUUAGCUUGAUAUUGCUUAAAGAUUAAACAUUUAGCAUUUAUACAAUUAUGUGCACAGAGAAACAUUAGUAGUGAUGACUUUGUCCUUAGAGAGCCCAAGUACAUGAAGACUAAAAAAGACAAGAAAGAUUGGUUCUGGAUACUAAUAAUGGUCAGGUUUAGGCAGGGCUGGACUGGACUGGAACAAAAAAACGGCCCAGGCAAUUUUGGCCAUGACGGACCACCGUGAUUACACUAUACAGAGGCACAUACCAGAGGAUAUGUGUGCAUGUUUUGUCAUUUCAAAAAUUAAUAUAAAGUGCAGCAGCCUACAUUAAAGAGAUUAACCAUGUUAAAAAAUAGAUAUGCUCUUUUACUAAUUACAGUCAUCUUGGGAGAUGGCCACAAUGUCAUAAAUCCAAUCUUGAAGUGAAAGAGGGGUCAAAGAAACACUGCUAGUAAUGUCUUUUUAAUGUUCAAUAAAUAAAGUGUUUGUAAAAAUCCACAACUAUGCCCACACUAAAACCAUACAUGUAAAAUAAAGAGACACCCCAUCAGAGUGGCACCUUAAAGUAUGAAAAACAGAGAGAGAAUGAGAAUGAGAAAGAUGCCGAGACAAUAAUUUGAGAGAUACAGAAAAAAAAAAGUGUAACUUCUGAUCCCUUCUGAUGCACAACAAGCCCAAAUGAGCAACUGCACUUUUGGAACAAGCCCAAAAAAAUUGCAACCCUCAAUUCACAAAAUUUACAAGAACUUGUUAAAAAAGAAGCCAAAUUGGCUUAUAAUAAGCAGACCUGGCAACUAUGGCUCCUGCGUAGUUGUGCAUGCACAACAUGACUGAGGAGGUUUGGGGGUGUGCUGGGUUGACUUGGACAGUCACAAUAGCCAGGAAAUGGGAGUGAGGAAAAGGACAACGGAGCAUCCAUGUCUUGCUUUGAGCUGGGUGAUAAUAAAAGCAAGCCCAAAGUUGCUUGUAAUAAGCAGACUUGGCAACAAAGUUGUUGUCCCGGUCUGCCCUUCCUCAUGGGGUGCUCACACCAAGUGUGAGUAAAAUCAUCCACUCGCUUAUUUCACGCAAAUCUAGACAUGUGAAUAAUAGUAUUUCACACGAAUUACUCACUCGGAGCGACACCUGCUGGAUGCAUCAGCGGGUCAUUCAGAGAGUUUUUGUGGUUUCUGAAGAAACAAUCCAACUGAUGAUCAACAUUUGUGAUCCAGAGGGAGUCGAGCUCCGACGAGCACCACGUCUCUGACAGCGGCGGUAACCUACACCUGCAGAGACACCAACACCUUAUUAUGGCAUAUGAUAAACUAAAGCUCAAUGUCAUUCAUGGAUAUUUACAGCUGCAUAUUUGAGGCAUAAAGUGAAAUUGUACUUGGUUUGCAUUACUUUUUUGAGGACUCUUGCUCCUUCCUACAGGACGCUCUCCUACUAAGGGUCCAAUUACAUGACAGUGAAGGCACCUUUCAGUCAUGAUCUACUGUUAGUAUGGGAAAUACAGUUGUGAGUAAAAGUCAGGGCACCCCUUUUAAAAAAACAUAGUUUAUCUAUGAACAAAUUAACCUUGAUAUUUAUAGUCUCUCUGAUGAAUAGGGGGAAGAAAAUUAUCAGAAAUCAUUAACGCACAGUAACUUUUUAUUUUAUAAAAAGUACAAAAUUACAAAAAUAAAAAUCAUCUUCUUGGCAUGUGCAAAUGUCAGGGCUUCCUUCGGCAUCAGUACCUUCAGUACUUAGUAAGACCCCCUGUGGCAGAUAUCACAGCUUGUAAAUGCUUUUUAUAUCCAACUACAAAUCUCUGGAUUUUAUCCUUUGGGAUUUUUACCCAUUCUUCCUUGUAAAAGGCUUCAAGUUCUGCAAUAUUAUUGGGUCAUCUUGCAUGAACAGCUCUUUUAAGAAUAACCGGGCCUGGUUAGUUCAGUCAGUAGAGCAUGAGACUCUUAAUCUCAGGGUUGUGCAUUACAGACACACAAGGAAAACAAAAAAAUAAAUAAAUAAAUACAGAAAAGAACCGUAAUUAACAGCUCGGUUCGCUCAGUCGGUAGAGAAUGUGACUUUUAAUCUCAGCGUCGUGGCUUCAACUCCCACAUUGGGUGAAAUCUUUACUUAAGUACCACCUGCAUCACUGCGACCAUAGACCAACAGUGUCCUCAUCCUCAUCAGCAAGACUCCUUACAGUCAACACUCGAGCAACUGCGGGAAGCACUGCACAUAGGCAAAGUCAUAACUUUUCCUUGAUCUCAUUUCAACAUGUAAUGUCAACUACAACAACACUGCUGUCAUUUGACAUAUUGUUUGAUUGUAGACAACACAUUCAACCAGACACACACACACAAAAAAAGGAAACACCUUAAAUAUGGGCCCGGUUAGCUCAGUCGGUAGAGCAUGAGACUUUUAAUCUCAGGGUCGUGGGUUCAAGUCCCACAUUGGGCACAAUCUUUACAUGAGAACCACCUCUAUCACUGAGAUAAACUUACAAACAAUGCCAUAAACCAACAGUGUCCACAUCCUCAGCAUCAAGAUUCCUUACACUCAUUACUCGAGCAACUGCACAAAGAACUGCACAUGGCAAAGUCAUAACUUUUCCUUGAUCUCAGUUCAACAUGUAAUGUCAGCUGCAACAACACUGCUGUCAUUUGACAUAUUGUUUGAUUUUAGGCAACACAUACAACCAGACACAAACAGAAAAAAUUACUGAACAUGGGCCCGGUUAGCUCAGUCGGAAGAGCAUGAGACUCUUAAUCUCAGGGUUGUGGGUUCGAGCCCCACAUUGGGCGCAAUCUUUACAUAAGUACCACCUGUAUCACUUAGAGAUACUUAACAAACCGACAGUGUCCUUAUCCUUAGCAUCAAGACUCAUUACAAUCAACCCCUGAGCAACUGCAGGAAGCACUGAACAUGGCAAAGUCGUAAGUUAUCCUUGAUCUCAGUUCAACAUGUAAUGUCAACUGCAAAAACACUGCUGUCAUUUGACAUAUUGUUUGAUUGUAGACAACACAUUCAACCAGACACACACACAAAAAAAAAAAAAAAAUAAAAAAAAGGAAAUGACCAUAAAUAUGGGCCCGGUUAGCUCACUCGGUAGAGCAUGAGACUCUUAAUCUCAGGGUUGUGGGUUCGAGCCCCACAUUGGGCGCAAUCUUUACACAAGUACCACCUGUAUCACUAGAGAUACUUAACAAACGAACAGUGUCCUCAUCCUUAGCAUCAAGACUCAUUACAAUCAACCCUAGAGCAACUGCAGGAAUUACUGAACAUGGCAAAGUCAUAAGUUAUCCUUGAUCUCAGUUCAACAUGUAAUGUCAACUGCAAAAACAUUGCUGUCAUUUGACAUAUUGUUUGAUUGUAGACAACACAUUCAACCAGACACACACACAAAAAAAAAAAGAAAAAAAAAAAAGGAAAUGACCAUAAAUAUGGGCACGGUUAGCUCAGUCGGUAUAGCAUGAGACUUUUAAUCUCAGGGUCGUGGGUUCAAGUCCCACAUUGGGCGCAAUCUUUACAUGAGAACGACCUCUAUCACUGAGAUAAACUUAAACACAAUGCAAUAAACCAACCGUGUCCUCAUCCUCAGCAUCAAGAUUCCUUGCACUCAUUACUCGAGCAACUGCAGGAACAACUGCACAUGGCAAAGUCAUUACUUUUCCUUGAUCUCAGUUCAAAAUGUAAUGUCAGCUGCAACAACACUGCUGUCAUUUGACAUAUUGUUUGAUUUUAGGCAACACAUACAACCAGACACAAACAGAAAAAAGCCCUGAACAUGGGCCCAGUUAGCUCAGUCGGUAGAGCAUGAGACUCUUAAUCUCAGGGUCGUGGGUUCGAGCCCCACAUUGGGCGCAAUCUUUACAUAAGUACCACCUGUAUCACUUAGAAAUACUUAACAAACGAACAGUGUCCUCAUCCUUAGCCUCAAGACUCAUUACAGUCAACCUUAAGCAACUGCAGGAAGCACUGAACAUGGCAAAGUCGCAACUUUUCCAUGAUCUCAGUUCAACAUGUAAUGUCAACUGCAAAAACACUGCUGUCAUUUGACAUAUUGUUUGAUUGUAGACAACACAUUCAACCAGACACAUACACAAAAAAAAAAAAAAAAAAAAAAAAAGGAAAUGACCAUAAAUAUGGGCCCGGUUAGCUCAGUCGGUAGAGCAUGAGACUUUUAAUCUCAGGGUCGUGGGUUCAAGUCCCACAUUGGGCGCAAUCUUUACAUGAGAACGACCUCUAUCACUGAGAUAAACUUAAAAACAAUGCCAUAAACCAACACUGUCCUCAUCCAAAGCAUCAAGAUUCCUUGCACUCAUUACUCGAGCAACUGCAGGAAGAACUGCACAUGGCAAAGUCAUAACUUUUCCUUGAUCUCAGUUCAACAUGUAAUGUCAGCUGCAACAACACUGCUGUCAUUUGACAUAUUGUUUUAUUUUAGGCAACACAUACAACCAGACACAAACAGAAAAAAGCCCUGAACAUGGGCCCGGUUAGCUCAGUCGGUAGAGCAUGAGACUCUUAAUCUCAGGGUCGUGGGUUCGAGCCCCACAUUGGGCGCAAUCUUUACAUAAGUACCACCUGUAUCACUUAGAGAUACUUAACAAACGAACAGUGUCCUCAUCCUUAGCAUCAAGACUCAUUACAAUCAACCCUCGAGCAACUGCAGGAAGCACUGAACAUGGCAAAGUCAUAAGUUAUCCUUGAUCUCAGUUCAACAUGUAAUGUCAACUGCAAAAACACUGCUGUCAUUUGACAUAUUGUUUGAUUGUAGACAACACAUUCAACCAGACACACAAAAAAAAAAAAAAAAAAAAAAAAGGAAAUGAGCCUAAAUAUGGGCCCGGUUAGCUCAGUCGGUAGAGCAUGAGACUUUUAAUCUCAGGGUCGUGGGUUCAAGUCCCACAUUGGGCGCAAUCUUUACAUGAGAACGACCUCUAUCACUGAGAUAAACUUAAACACAAUGCAAUAAACCAACAGUGUCCUCAUCCUCAGCAUCAAGAUUCCUUGCAAACAUUACUCGAGCAACUGCAGGAACAACUGCACAUGGCAAAGUCAUUACUUUUCCUUGAUCUCAGUUCAAAAUGUAAUGUCAGCUGCAACAACACUGCUGUCAUUUGACAUAUUGUUUGAUUUUAGGCAACACAUACAACCAGACACAAACAGAAAAAAUUACUGAACAUGGGCCCGGUUAGCUCAGUCGGUAGAGCAUGAGACUCUUAAUCUCAGGGUCGUGGGUCCGAGCCCCACAUUGGGCGCAAUCUUUACAUAAGUACCACCUGUAUCACUUAGAGAUACUUAACAAACGAACAGUGUCCUCCUCCUUAGCAUCAAGACUCAUUACAAUCAACCUUAAGCAACUGCAGGAAGCACUGAACAUGGCAAAGUCGCAACUUUUCCAUGAUCUCAGUUCAACAUGUAAUGUCAACUGCAAAAACACUGCUGUCAUUUGACAUAUUGUUUGAUUGUAGACAACACAUUCAACCAGACACACACACAAAAAAAAAAAUAAAAAAAAAAGGAAAUGACCAUAAAUAUGGGCCCGGUUAGCUCAGUCGGUAGAGCAUGAGACUUUUAAUCUCAGGGUCGUGGGUUCAAGUCCCACAUUGGGCGCAAUCUUUACAUGAGAACGACCUCUAUCACUGAGAUAAACUUAAAAAACAAUGCCAUAAACCAACACUGUCCUCAUCCAAAGCAUCAAGAUUCCUUGCACUCAUUACUCGAGCAACUGCAGGAAGAACUGCACAUGGCAAAGUCAUAACUUUUCCUUGAUCUCAGUUCAACAUGUAAUGUCAGCUGCAACAACACUGCUGUCAUUUGACAUAUUGUUUUAUUUUAGGCAACACAUACAACCAGACACAAACAGAAAAAAAGCCCUGAACAUGGGCCCGGUUAGCUCAGUCGGUAGAGCAUGAGACUCUUAAUCUCAGGGUCGUGGGUUCGAGCCCCACAUUGGGCGCAAUCUUUACAUAAGUACCACCUGUAUCACUUAGAGAUACUUAACAAACGAACAGUGUCCUCAUCCUUAGCAUCAAGACUCAUUACAAUCAACCCUCGAGCAACUGCAGGAAGCACUGAACAUGGCAAAGUCAUAAGUUAUCCUUGAUCUCAGUUCAACAUGUAAUGUCAACCGCAAAAACACUGCUGUCAUUUGACAUAUUGUUUGAUUGUAGACAACACAUUGGACCAGACACACACAAAAAAAAAAAAAAAAAAAAGGAAAUGACCAUAAAUAUGGGCCCGGUUAGCUCAGUCGGUAGAGCAUGAGACUCUUAAUCUCAGGGUCGUGGGUUCGAGCCCCACAUUGGGCGCAAUCUUUACAUAAGUACCACCUGUAUCACUUAGAGAUACUUAACAAACGAACAGUGUCCUCCUCCUUAGCAUCAAGACUCAUUACAAUCAACCUUAAGCAACUGCAGGAAGCACUGAACAUGGCAAAGUCGCAACUUUUCCAUGAUCUCAGUUCAACAUGUAAUGUCAACUGCAAAAACACUGCUGUCAUUUGACAUAUUGUUUGAUUGUAGACAACACAUUCAACCAGACACAUACACAAAAAAAAAAAAAAAAAAAAAAAAAGGAAAUGACCAUAAAUAUGGGCCUGGUUAGCUCAGUCAGUAGAGCAUGAGACUUUUAAUCUCAGGGUCGUGGGUUCAAGUCCCACAUUGGGCGCAAUCUUUACAUGAGAACCACCUCUAUCACUGAGAUAAACUUAAACACAAUGCAAUAAACCAACAGUGUCCUCAUCCUCAGCAUCAAGAUUCCUUGCACUCAUUGCUCGAGCAACUGCAGGAACAACUGCACAUGGCAAAGUCAUUACUUUUCCUUGAUCUCAGUUCAAAAUGUAAUGUCAGCUGCAACAACACUGCUGUCAUUUGACAUAUUGUUUGAUUUUAGGCAACACAUACAACCAGACACAAACAGAAAAAAGCCCUGAACAUGGGCCCGGUUAGCUCAGUCGGUAGAGCAUGAGACUCUUAAUCUCAGGGUCGUGGGUUCGAGCCCCACAUUGGGCGCAAUCUUUACAUAAGUACCACCUGUAUCACUUAGAGAUACUUAACAAACGAACAGUGUCCUCAUCCUUAGCAUCAAGACUCAUUACAAUCAACCCUAGUGCAACUGCAGGAAUUACUGAACAUGGCAAAGUCAUAAAAUAUCCUUGAUCUCAGUUCAACAUGUAAUGUCAACUGCAAAAACAUUGCUGUCAUUUGACAUAUUGUUUGAUUGUAGACAACACAUUCAACCAGACACACACACCAAAAAAAAAAAAAAAAAAAAAAGAAAAUGACCAUAAAUAUGGGCACGGUUAGCUCAGUCGGUAUAGCAUGAGACUUUUAAUCUCAGGGUCGUGGGUUCAAGUCCCACAUUGGGCGCAAUCUUUGCAUGAGAACGACCUCUAUCACUGAGAUAAACUUAAACACAAUGCAAUAAACCAACAGUGUCCUCAUCCUCAGCAUCAAGAUUCCUUGCACUCAUUACUCGAGCAACUGCAGGAACAACUGCACAUGGCAAAGUCAUUACUUUUCCUUGAUCUCAGUUCAAAAUGUAAUGUCAGCUGCAACAACACUGCUGUCAUUUGACAUAUUGUUUGAUUUUAGGCAACACAUACAACCAGACACAAACAGAAAAAAUUACUGAACAUGGGCCCGGUUAGCUCAGUCGGUAGAGCAUGAGACUCUUAAUCUCAGUGUCGUGGGUUCGAGCCCCACAUUGGGCGCAAUCUUUACAUAAGUACCACCUGUAUCACUUAGAAAUACUUAACAAACGAACAGUGUCCUCAUCCUUAGCCUCAAGACUCAUUACAGUCAACCUUAAGCAACUGCAGGAAGCACUGAACAUGGCAAAGUCGCAACUUUUCCAUGAUCUCAUUUCAACAUGUAAUGUCAACUGCAAAAACAUUGCUGUCAUUUGACAUAUUGUUUGAUUGUAGACAACACAUUCAACCAGACACACACACAAAAAAAAAAAAAGGAAAUGACCAUAAAUAUGGGCCCGGUUAGCUCAGUCGGUAGAGCAUGAGACUUUUAAUCUCAGGGUCGUGGGUUCAAGUCCCACAUUGGGCGCAAUCUUUACAUGAGAACCACCUCUAUCACUGAGAUAAACUUAAAAACAAUGCCAUAAACCAACACUGUCCUCAUCCAAAGCAUCAAGAUUCCUUGCACUCAUUACUCGAGCAACUGCAGGAAGAACUGCACAUGGCAAAGUCAUAACUUUUCCUUGAUCUCAGUUCAACAUGUAAUGUCAGCUGCAACAACACUGCUGUCAUUUGACAUAUUGUUUUAUUUUAGGCAACACAUACAACCAGACACAAACAGAAAAAAUUACUGAACAUGGGCCCGGUUAGCUCAGUCGGUAGAGCAUGAGACUCUUAAUCUCAGGGUCGUGGGUUCGAGCCCCACAUUGGGCGCAAUCUUUACAUAAGUACCACCUGUAUCACUUAGAGAUACUUAACAAACGAACAGUGUCCUCCUCCUUAGCAUCAAGACUCAUUACAAUCAACCUUAAGCAACUGCAGGAAGCACUGAACAUGGCAAAGUCGCAACUUUUCCAUGAUCUCAGUUCAACAUGUAAUGUCAACUGCAAAAACACUGCUGUCAUUUGACAUAUUGUUUGAUUGUAGACAACACAUUCAACCAGACACAUACACAAAAAAAAAAAAAAAAAAAAAAAAAGGAAAUGACCAUAAAUAUGGGCCCGGUUAGCUCAGUCGGUAGAGCAUGAGACUUUUAAUCUCAGGGUCGUGGGUUCAAGUCCCACAUUGGGCGCAAUCUUUACAUGAGAACCACCUCUAUCACUGAGAUAAACUUAAACACAAUGCAAUAAACCAACAGUGUCCUCAUCCUCAGCAUCAAGAUUCCUUGCACUCAUUGCUCGAGCAACUGCAGGAACAACUGCACAUGGCAAAGUCAUUACUUUUCCUUGAUCUCAGUUCAAAAUGUAAUGUCAGCUGCAACAACACUGCUGUCAUUUGACAUAUUGUUUGAUUUUAGGCAACACAUACAACCAGACACAAACAGAAAAAAUUACUGAACAUGGGCCCGGUUAGCUCAGUCGGUAGAGCAUGAGACUCUUAAUCUCAGGGUCGUGGGUUCGAGCCCCACAUUGGGCGCAAUCUUUACAUAAGUACCACCUGUAUCACUUAGAGAUACUUAACAAACGAACAGUGUCCUCAUCCUUAGCAUCAAGACUCAUUACAAUCAACCCUAGAGCAACUGCAGGAAUUACUGAACAUGGCAAAGUCAUAAUUUAUCCUUGAUCUCAGUUCAACAUGUAAUGUCAACUGCAAAAACAUUGCUGUCAUUUGACAUAUUGUUUGAUUGUAGACAACACAUUCAACCAGACACACACACCAAAAAAAAAAAAGAAAAAAAAAAGGAAAUGACCAUAAAUAUGGGCACGGUUAGCUCAGUCGGUAUAGCAUGAGACUUUUAAUCUCAGGGUCGUGGGUUCAAGUCCCACAUAGGGCGCAAUCUUUACAUGAGAACGACCUCUAUCACUGAGAUAAACUUAAACACAAUGCAAUAAACCAACAGUGUCCUCAUCCUCAGCAUCAAGAUUCCUUGCACUCAUUACUCGAGCAACUGCAGGAACAACUGCACAUGGCAAAGUCAUUACUUUUCCUUGAUCUCAGUUCAAAAUGUAAUGUCAGCUGCAACAACACUGCUGUCAUUUGACAUAUUGUUUGAUUUUAGGCAACACAUACAACCAGACACAAACAGAAAAAAGCCCUGAACAUGGGCCCGGUUAGCUCAGUCGGUAGAGCAUGAGACUCUUAAUCUCAGUGUCAUGGGUUCGAGCCCCACAUUGGGCGCAAUCUUUACAUAAGUACCACCUGUAUCACUUAGAAAUACUUAACAAACGAACAGUGUCCUCAUCCUUAGCCUCAAGACUCAUUACAGUCAACCUUAAGCAACUGAAGGAAGCACUGAACAUGGCAAAGUUGCAACUUUUCCAUGAUCUCAUUUCAACAUGUAAUGUCAACUGCAAAAACACUGCUGUCAUUUGACAUAUUGUUUGAUUGUAGACAACACAUUCAACCAGACACAUACACAAAAAAAAAAAAAAAAAAAAAAAAAGGAAAUGACCAUAAAUAUGGGCCCGGUUAGCUCAGUCGGUAGAGCAUGAGACUUUUAAUCUCAGGGUCGUGGGUUCAAGUCCCACAUUGGGCGCAAUCUUUACAUGAGAACCACCUCUAUCACUGAGAUAAACUUAAAAACAAUGCCAUAAACCAACACUGUCCUCAUCCAAAGCAUCAAGAUUCCUUGCACUCAUUACUCGAGCAACUGCAGGAAGAACUGCACAUGGCAAAGUCAUAACUUUUCCUUGAUCUCAGUUCAACAUGUAAUGUCAACUGCAAAAACACUGCUGUCAUUUGACAUAUUGUUUGAUUGUAGACAACACAUUCAACCAGACACACACACAAAAAAAAAUAAAUAUAAAAAAAAGGAAAUGACCAUAAAUAUGGGCCCGGUUAGCUCAGUCGGUAGAGCAUGAGACUUUUAAUCUCAGGGUCGUGGGUUCAAGUCCCACAUUGGGCGCAAUCUUUACAUGAGAACCACCUCUAUCACUGAGAUAAACUUAAAAACAAUGCAAUAAACCAACAGUGUCCUCAUCCUCAGCAUCAAGAUUCCUUGCACUCAUUACUCGAGCAACUGCACAUGGCAAAGUCAUUACUUUUCCUUGAUCUCAGUUCAAAAUGUAAUGUCAGCUGCAACAACACUGCUGUCAUUUGACAUAUUGUUUGAUUUUAGGCAACACAUACAACCAGACACAAACAGAAAAAAGCCCUGAACAUGGGCCCGGUUUGCUCAGUCGGUAGAGCAUGAGACUCUUAAUCUCAGGGUCGUGGGUUCGAGCCCCACAUUGGGCGCAAUCUUUACAUAAGUACCACCUGUAUCACUUAGAGAUACUUAACAAACGAACAGUGUCCUCAUCCUUAGCAUCAAGACUCAUUACAAUCAUCCUUAAGCAACUGCAGGAAGCACUGAACAUGGCAAAGUCGCAACUUUUCCAUGAUCUCAGUUCAACAUGUAAUGUCAACUGCAAAAACACUGCUGUCAUUUGACAUAUUGUUUGAAUGUAGACAACACAUUCAACCAGACACAUAAACAAAAAAAGAAAAAAAAAAAAAAGGAAAUGACCAUAAAUAUGGGCCCGGUUAGCUCAGUCGGUAGAGCAUGAGACUUUUAAUCUCAGGUUCGUGGGUUCAAGUCCCACAUUGGGCGCAAUCUUUGCAUGAGAACCACCUCUAUCACUGUGAUAAACUUAAAAACAAUGCCAUAAACCAACACUGUCCUCAUCCAAAGCAUCAAGAUUCCUUGCACUCAUUACUCGAGCAACUGCAGGAAGAACUGCACAUGGCAAAGUCAUAACUUUUCCUUGAUCUCAGUUCAACAUGUAAUGUCAGCUGCAACAACACUGCUGUCAUUUGACAUAUUGUUUUAUUUUAGGCAACACAUACAACCAGACACAAACAGAAAAAAGCCCUGAACAUGGGCCCGGUUAGCUCAGUCGGUAGAGCAUGAGACUCUAAUUCUCAGGGUCGUGGGUUCGAGCCCCACAUUGGGCGCAAUCUUUACAUAAGUACCACCUGUAUCACUUAGAGAUACUUAACAAACGAACAGUGUCCUCAUCCUUAGCAUCAAGACUCAUUACAAUCAACCCUCGAGCAACUGCAGGAAGCACUGAACAUGGCAAAGUCUUAAGUUAUCCUUGAUCUCAGUUCAACAUGUAAUGUCAACUGCAAAAACACUGCUGUCAUUUGACAUAUUGUUUGAUUGUAGACAACACAUUCAACCAGACACACACAAAAAAAAAAAAAAAAAAAAAAAGCAAAAAGAAAUGACCAUAAAUAUGGGCCCGGUUAGCUCAGUCGGUAGAGCAUGAGACUUUUAAUCUCAGGGUCGUGGGUUCAAGUCCCACAUUGGGCGCAAUCUUCACAUGAGAACGACCUCUAUCACUGAGAUAAACUUAAAAACAAUGCAAUAAACCAACAGUGUCCUCAUCCUCAGCAUCAAGAUUCCUUGCACUCAUUACUCGAGCAACUGCACAUGGCAAAGUCAUUACUUUUCCUUGAUCUCAGUUCAAAAUGUAAUGUCAGCUGCAACAACACUGCUGUCAUUUGACAUAUUGUUUGAUUUUAGGCAACACAUACAACCAGACACAAACAGAAAAAAGCCCUGAACAUGGGCCCGGUUUGCUCAGUCGGUAGAGCAUGAGACUCUUAAUCUCAGGGUCGUGGGUUCGAGCCCCACAUUGGGCGCAAUCUUUACAUAAGUACCACCUGUAUCACUUAGAGAUACUUAACAAACGAACAGUGUCCUCAUCCUUAGCAUCAAGACUCAUUACAAUCAUCCUUAAGCAACUGCAGGAAGCACUGAACAUGGCAAAGUCGCAACUUUUCCAUGAUCUCAGUUCAACAUGUAAUGUCAACUGCAAAAACACUGCUGUCAUUUGACAUAUUGUUUGAAUGUAGACAACACAUUCAACCAGACACAUAAACAAAAAAAAAAAAAAAAAAAAAAAAGGAAAUGACCAUAAAUAUUGGCCCGGUUAGCUCAGUCGGUAGAGCAUGAGACUUUUAAUCUCAGGGUCGUGGGUUAAAGUCCCACAUUGGGCGCAAUCUUUGCAUGAGAACCACCUCUAUCACUGAGAUAAACUUAAAAACAAUGCCAUAAACCAACACUGUCCUCAUCCAAAUCAUCAAGAUUCCUUGCACUCAUUACUCGAGCAACUGCAAGGAAGAACUGCACAUGGCAAAGUCAUUACUUUUCCUUGAUCUCAGUUCAAAAUGUAAUGUCAGCUGCAACAACACUGCUGUCAUUUGACAUAUUGUUUGAUUUUAGGCAACACAUACAACCAGACACAAACAGAAAAAAUUACUGAACAUGGGCCCGGUUAGCUCAGUCGGUAGAGCAUGAGACUCUUAAUCUCAGGGUCGUGGGUUCGAGCCCCACAUUGGGCGCAAUCUUUACAUAAGUACCACCUGUAUCACUUAGAGAUACUUAACAAACGAACAGUGUCCUCAUCCUUAGCAUCAAGACUCAUUACAAUCAACCCUCGAGCAACUGCAGGAAGCACUGAACAUGGCAAAGUCAUAAGUUAUCCUUGAUCUCAGUUCAACAUGUAAUGUCAACUGCAAAAACACUGCUGUCAUUUGACAUAUUGUUUGAUUGUAGACACCACAUACAACCAUACACAAAAAAAAAAAAAAAAAAAAAAAGGAAAUGAGCCUAAAUAUGGGCCCGGUUAGCUCAGUCGGUAGAGCAUGAGACUUUUAAUCUUAGGGUCGUGGGUUCAAGUCCCACAUUGGGCGCAAUCUUUACAUGAGAACGACCUCUAUCACUGAGAUAAACUUAAACACAAUGCAAUAAACCAACAGUGUCCUCAUCCUCAGCAUCAAGAUUCCUUGCACUCAUUACUCGAGCAACUGCAGGAACAACUGCACAUGGCAAAGUCAUAACUUUUCCUUGAUCUCAGUUCAACAUGUAAUGUCAGCUGCAACAACACUGCUGUCAUUUGACAUAUUGUUUCAUUUUAGGCAACACAUACAACCAGACACAAACAGAAAAAAUUACUGAACAUGGGCCCGGUUAGCUCAGUCGGUAGAGCAUGAGACUCUUAAUCUCAGGGUCGUGGGUUCGAGCCCCACAUUGGGCGCAAUCUUUACAUAAGUACCACCUGUAUCACUUAGAGAUACUUAACAAACGAACAGUGUCCUCAUCCUUAGCAUCAAGACUCAUUACAAUCAACCCUAGAGCAACUGCAGGAAUUACUGAACAUGGCAAAGUCAUAAGUUAUCCUUGAUCUCAGUUCAACAUGUAAUGUCAACUGCAAAAAACUGCUGUCAUUUGACAUAUUGUUUUAUUGUUGACAACACAUUCAACCAGACACACACACACACAAAAAAAAAAGAAAAAAAGGAAAUGAGCCUAAAUAUGGGCCCGGUUAGCUCAGUCGGUAGAGCAUGAGACUUUUAAUCUCAGGGUCGUGGGUUCAAGUCCCACAUUGGGCGCAAUCUUUACAUGAGAACCACCUCUAUCACUGAGAUAAACUUAAAAACAAUGCCAUAAGCCAACAGUGUCCUCAUCCUCAGCAUCAAGAUUCCUUGCACUCAUUACUCGAGCAACUGCAGGAAGAACUGCACAUGGCAAAGUCAUUACUUUUCCUUGAUCUCAGUUCAAAAUGUAAUGUCAGCUGCCACAACACUGCUGUCAUUUGACAUAUUGUUUGAUGUUAGGCAACACAUACAACCAGACACAAACAGAAAAAAUUACUGAACAUGGGCCUUGUUAGCUCAGUCGGUAGAGCAUGAGACUUUUAAUCUCAGGGUCAUGGGUUCAAGUCCCACAUUGGGUGCAAUCUAUACAUGAGAACCACCUCUAUCACUGAGAUAAACUUAAAAACAAUGCCAUAAACCAACAGUGUCCUCAUCCUCAGCAUCAAGAUUCCUUACACUCAUUACUCGAGCAACUGCAGGAAGAAUUGCACAUGGGAAAGUCGUAACUUUUCCUUGAUCUCAGUUCAACAUAUAAUGUCAGCUGCAACAACACUGCUAUCAUUUGACAUAUUGUUUUAUUUUAGACAACACAUUCAACCAGACACACACACAAAAAAAAAAAAAAAAAAAAAAGGAAAUGACCAUUAAUAUGGGCCCGGUUAGCUCAGUCGGUAGAGCAUGAGACUUUUAAUCUCAGGGUCGAGGGUUCAAGUCCCACAUUGGGCGCAUUCUUUACAUGAGUACCAACUGUAUCACUGAGAUAAACCUAACAACAAUGCCAUAAUGCCAUAAACAACACUGUCCUCAUCCUCAGCAUCAAGAUUCCUUACACUCAUUACUCGAGCAACUGCAGGAAGAACUGCACAUGGCAAAGUCAUAACUUUUCCUUGAUCUCAGUUCAACAUGUAAUGUCAACUGCAAAAACACUGCUGUCAUUUGACAUAUUGUUUGAUUGUAGACAACACAUUCAACCAGACACACACACAAAAAAAAAAAAAAAAAAAAAAAAAAGGGAAAUGACCAUAAAUAUGGGCCCGGUUAGCUCAGUCGGUAGAGCAUGAGACUUUUAAUCUCAGGGUCGUGGGUUCAAGUCCCACAUUGGGCGCAAUCUUUACAUGAGAACGACCUCUAUCACUGAGAUAAACUUAAACACAAUGCAAUAAACCAACAGCGUCCUCAUCCUCAGCAUCAAGAUUCCUUGCACUCAUUACUCGAGCAACUGCAGGAACAACUGCACAUGUGCAAAGUCAUUACUUUUCCUUGAUCUCAGUUCAACAUGUAAUGUCAGCUGCAACAACACUGCUGUCAUUUGACAUAUUGUUUUAUUUUAGGCAACACAUACAACCAGACACAAACAGAAAAAAUUACUGAACAUGGGCCCGGUUAGCUCAGUCGGUAGAGCAUGAGACUCUUAAUCUCAGGGUCGUGGGUUCGAGCCCCACAUUGGGCGCAAUCUUUACAUAAGUACCACCUGUAUCACUUAGAGAUACUUAACAAACGAACAGUGUCCUCAUCCUUAGCAUCAAGACUCAUUACAAUCAACCUCGAGCAACUGCAGGAAGCACUGAACAUGGCAAAGUCGCAACUUUUCCAUGAUCUCAGUUCAACAUGUAAUGUCAACUGCAAAAACACUGCUGUCAUUUGACAUAUUGUUUGAUUGUAGACAACACAUUCAACCAGACACACACACAAAAAAAAAAAAAAAAAAAAAAGGAAAUGAGCCUAAAUAUGGGCCCGGUUAGCUCAGUCGGUAGAGCAUGAGACUUUUAAUCUCAGGGUCGUGGGUUCAAGUCCCACAUUGGGCGCAAUCUUUACAUGAGAACCACCUCUAUCACUGAGAUAAACUUAAAAACAAUGCAAUAAACCAACACUGUCCUCAUCCUCAGCAUCAAGAUUCCUUGCACUCAUUACUGGAGCAACUGCAGGAAGAACUGCACAUGGCAAAGUCAUUACUUUUCCUUGAUCUCAGUUCAAAAUGUAAUGUCAGCUGCAACAACACUGCUGUCAUUUGGCAUAUUGUUUGAUUUUAGGCAACACAUACAACCAGACACAAACAGAACAAAUUACUGAACAUGGGCCCGGUUAGCUCAGUCGGUAGAGCAUGAGACUCUUAAUCUCAGGGUCGUGGGUUCGAGCCCCACAUUGGGCGCAAUCUUUACAUAAGUACCACCUGUAUCACUUAGAGAUACUUAACAAACGAACAGUGUCCUCAUCCUUAGCAUCAAGACUCAUUACAAUCAACCCUCGAGCAACUGCAGGAAGCACUGAACAUGGCAAAGUCAUAAGUUAUCCUUGAUCUCAGUUCAACAUGUAAUGUCAACUGCAAAAACACUGCUGUCAUUUGACAUAUUGUUUGAUUGUAGACAACACAUUCAACCAGACACACACAAAAAAAAAAAAAAAAAAAAAAAGGAAAUGAGCCUAAAUAUGGGCCCGGUUAGCUCAGUCGGUAGAGCAUGAGACUUUUAAUCUCAGGGUCGUGGGUUCAAGUCCCACAUUGGGCGCAAUCUUUACAUGAGAACCACCUCUAUCACUGAGAUAAACUUAAAAACAAUGCCAUAAACCAACAGUGUCCUCAUCCUCAGCAUCAAGAUUCCUUGCACUCAUUACUCGAGCAACUGCAGGAAGAACUGCACAUGGCAAAGUCAUUACUUUUCCUUGAUCUCAGUUCAAAAUGUAAUGUCAGCUGCCACAACACUGCUGUCAUUUGACAUAUUGUUUGAUUUUAGGCAACACAUACAACCAGACACAAACAGAAAAAAUUACUGAACAUGGGCCUGUUAGCUCAGUCGGUAGAGCAUGAGACUUUUAAUCUCAGGGUCAUGGGUUCAAGUCCCACAUUGGGUGCAAUCUAUACAUGAGAACCACCUCUAUCACUGAGAUAAACUUAAAAACAAUGCCAUAAACCAACAGUGUCCUCAUCCUCAGCAUCAAGAUUCCUUACACUCAUUACUCGAGCAACUGCAGGAAGAAUUGCACAUGGGAAAGUCGUAACUUUUCCUUGAUCUCAGUUCAACAUAUAAUGUCAGCUGCAACAACACUGCUGUCAUUUGACAUAUUGUUUUAUUUUAGACAACACAUUCAACCAGACACACACACAAAAAAAAAAAAAAAAAAAAGGAAAUGACCAUUAAUAUGGGCCCGGUUAGCUCAGUCGGUAGAGCAUGAGACUUUUAAUCUCAGGGUCGAGGGUUCAAGUCCCACAUUGGGCGCAUUCUUUACAUGAGUACCAACUGUAUCACUGAGAUAAACCUAACAACAAUGCCAUAAACAACACUGUCCUCAUCCUCAGCAUCAAGAUUCCUUACACUCAUUACUCGAGCAACUGCAGGAAGCACUGAACAUGGCAAAGUCAUAACUUUUCCUUGAUCUCAGUUCAACAUGUAAUGUCAACUGCAAAAACACUGCUGUCAUUUGACAUAUUGUUUGAUUGUAGACACCACAUUCAACCAGACACACACAAAAAAAAAAAAAAAAAAAAAGGAAAUGAGCCUAAAUAUGGGCCCGGUUAGCUCAGUCGGUAGAGCAUGAGACUUUUAAUCUUAGGGUCGUGGGUUCAAGUCCCACAUUGGGCGCAAUCUUUACAUGAGAACGACCUCUAUCACUGAGAUAAACUUAAACACAAUGCAAUAAACCAACAGUGUCCUCAUCCUCAGCAUCAAGAUUCCUUGCACUCAUUACUCGAGCAACUGCAGGAACAACUGCACAUGGCAAAGUCAUAACUUUUCCUUGAUCUCAGUUCAACAUGUAAUGUCAGCUGCAACAACACUGCUGUCAUUUGACAUAUUGUUUUAUUUUAGGCAACACAUACAACCAGACACAAACAGAAAAAAUUACUGAACAUGGGCCCGGUUAGCUCAGUCGGUAGAGCAUGAGACUCUUAAUCUCAGGGUCGUGGGUUCGAGCCCCACAUUGGGCGCAAUCUUUACAUAAGUACCACCUGUAUCACUUAGAGAUACUUAACAAACGAACAGUGUCCUCAUCCUUAGCAUCAAGACUCAUUACAAUCAACCCUAGAGCAACUGCAGGAAGCACUGAACAUGGCAAAGUCAUAAGUUAUCCUUGAUCUCAGUUCAACAUGUAAUGUCAACUGCAAAAAACUGCUGUCAUUUGACAUAUUGUUUGAUUGUAGACAACACAUUCAACCAGACACACACACAAAAAAAAAAAAAAAAAAAAAAGGAAAUGAGCCUAAAUAUGGGCCCGGUUAGCUCAGUCGGUAGAGCAUGAGACUUUUAAUCUCAGGGUCGUGGGUUCAAGUCCCACAUUGGGCGCAAUCUUUACAUGAGAACCACCUCUAUCACUGAGAUAAACUUAAAAACAAUGCCAUAAACCAACAGUGUCCUCAUCCUCAGCAUCAAGAUUCCUUGCACUCAUUACUCGAGCAACUGCAGGAAGAACUGCACAUGGCAAAGUCAUUAACUUUUCCUUGAUCUCAGUUCAACAUGUAAUGUCAGCUGCAACAACACUGCUGUCAUUUGACAUAUUGUUUGAUUUAGGCAACACAUACAACCAGACACAAACAGAAAAAAUUACUGAACAAAUGGGCCUUGUUAGCUCAGUCGGUAGAGCAUGAGACUUUUAAUCUCAGGGUCAUGGGUUCAAGUCCCACAUUGGGUGCAAUCUAUACAUGAGAACCACCUCUAUCACUGAGAUAAACUUAAAAACAAUGCCAUAAACCAACAGUGUCCUCAUCCUCAGCAUCAAGAUUCCUUACACUCAUUACUCGAGCAACUGCAGGAAGAAUUGCACAUGGGAAAGUCGUAACUUUUCCUUGAUCUCAGUUCAACAUAUAAUGUCAGCUGCAACAACACUGCUGUCAUUUGACAUAUUGUUUUAUUUUAGACAACACAUUCAACCAGACACACACACAAAAAAAAAAAAAAAAAAAAACGGAAAUGACCAUUAAUAUGGGCCCGGUUAGCUCAGUCGGUAGAGCAUGAGACUUUUAAUCUCAGGGUCGAGGGUUCAAGUCCCACAUUGGGCGCAUUCUUUACAUGAGUACCAACUGUAUCACUGAGAUAAACCUAACAACAAUGCCAUAAUGCCAUAAACAACACUGUCCCUCCUCAGCAUCAAGAUUCCUUACACUCAUUACUCGAGCAACUGCAGGAAGAACUGCACAUGGCAAAGUCAUAACUUUUCCUUGAUCUCAGUUCAACAUGUAAUGUCAACUGCAAAAACACUGCUGUCAUUUGACAUAUUGUUUGAUUGUAGACAACACAUUCAACCAGACACACACACAAAAAAAAAAAAAAAAAAAAAGGAAAUGACCAUAAAUAUGGGCCCGGUUAGCUCAGUCGGUAGAGCAUGAGACUUUUAAUCUCAGGGUCGUGGGUUCAAGUCCCACAUUGGGCGCAAUCUUUACAUGAGAACGACCUCUAUCACUGAGAUAAACUUAAACACAAUGCAAUAAACCAACAGCGUCCUCAUCCUCAGCAUCAAGAUUCCUUGCACUCAUUACUCGAGCAACUGCAGGAACAACUGCACAUGUGCAAAGUCAUUACUUUUCCUUGAUCUCAGUUCAACAUGUAAUGUCAGCUGCAACAACACUGCUGUCAUUUGACAUAUUGUUUUAUUUUAGGCAACACAUACAACCAGACACAAACAGAAAAAAUUACUGAACAUUGGCCCGGUUAGCUCAGUCGGUAGAGCAUGAGACUCUUAAUCUCAGGGUCGUGGGUUCGAGCCCCACAUUGGGCGCAAUCUUUACAUAAGUACCACCUGUAUCACUUAGAGAUACUUAACAAACAAACAGUGUCCUCAUCCUUAGCCUCAAGACUCAUUACAGUCAACCUCAAGCAACUGCAGGAAGCACUGAACAUGGCAAAGUCGCAACUUUUCCAUGAUCUCAGUUCAACAUGUAAUGUCAACUGCAAAAACACUGCUGUCAUUUGACAUAUUGUUUGAUUGUAGACACCACAUUCAACCAGACACACACAAAAAAAAAAAAAAAAAAAAAAAAGGAAAUGAGCCUAAAUAUGGGCCCGGUUAGCUCAGUCGGUAGAGCAUGAGACUUUUAAUCUCAGGGUCGUGGGUUCAAGUCCCACAUUGGGCGCAAUCUUUACAUGAGAACCACCUCUAUCACUGAGAUAAACUUAAAAACAAUGCAAUAAACCAACACUGUCCUCAUCCUCAGCAUCAAGAUUCCUUGCACUCAUUACUGGAGCAACUGCAGGAAGAACUGCACAUGGCAAAGUCAUUACUUUUCCUUGAUCUCAGUUCAAAAUGUAAUGUCAGCUGC
Molecule: non-coding RNA, 22085 nt
Organism: Xyrichtys novacula (pearly razorfish)
Lineage: Eukaryota; Metazoa; Chordata; Actinopteri; Labriformes; Labridae
Source: the annotation of a GenBank genome assembly